RNAcentral lists this ribosomal RNA (862 nucleotides) under Enterococcus casseliflavus. RNAcentral's name for it is "bacterial SSU rRNA". It matches the Rfam family "Bacterial small subunit ribosomal RNA", at positions 28 to 860 of the family's 1533-position model. The record is from RNAcentral. Lineage: Bacteria; Bacillati; Bacillota; Bacilli; Lactobacillales; Enterococcaceae.
GACGAAACGCUGGCGGCGUGCCUAAUACAUGCAAGUCGAACGCUUUUUCUUUCACCGGAGCUUGCUCCACCGAAAGAAAAAGAGUGGCGAACGGGUGAGUAACACGUGGGUAACCUGCCCAUCAGAAGGGGAUAACACUUGGAAACAGGUGCUAAUACCGUAUAACACUAUUUUCCGCAUGGAAGAAAGUUGAAAGGCGCUUNUGCGUCACUGAUGGAUGGACCCGCGGUGCAUUAGCUAGUUGGUGAGGUAACGGCUCACCAAGGCAACGAUGCAUAGCCGACCUGAGAGGGUGAUCGGCCACACUGGGACUGAGACACGGCCCAGACUCCUACGGGAGGCAGCAGUAGGGAAUCUUCGGCAAUGGACGAAAGUCUGACCGAGCAACGCCGCGUGAGUGAAGAAGGUUUUCGGAUCGUAAAACUCUGUUGUUAGAGAAGAACAAGGAUGAGAGUAAAAUGUUCAUCCCUUGACGGUAUCUAACCAGAAAGCCACGGCUAACUACGUGCCAGCAGCCGCGGUAAUACGUAGGUGGCAAGCGUUGUCCGGAUUUAUUGGGCGUAAAGCGAGCGCAGGCGGUUUCUUAAGUCUGAUGUGAAAGCCCCCGGCUCAACCGGGGAGGGUCAUUGGAAACUGGGAGACUUGAGUGCAGAAGAGGAGAGUGGAAUUCCAUGUGUAGCGGUGAAAUGCGUAGAUAUAUGGAGGAACACCAGUGGCGAAGGCGGCUCUCUGGUCUGUAACUGACGCUGAGGCUCGAAAGCGUGGGGAGCGAACAGGAUUAGAUACCCUGGUAGUCCACGCCGUAAACGAUGAGUGCUGGGUGUUGGAGGGUUUCCGCCCUUCAGUGCUGCAGCAAACGCAU